UACGUAGGCAGCAAGCGUUGUUCGAGUUCCUGGGCGUAAAGGGUGCGUAGGCGGCUUCUUAAGUCUGGUGGGAAAUCUCCCGGCUCAACUGGGAGGGUGCGCCGGAUACUGAGGGGCUAGAGUGUGGGAGAGGAAAGUGGAAUUCCUGGUGUAGCGGUGAAAUGCGUAGAUAUCAGGAGGAACACCGGUGGUGUAAACGGCUUUCUGGACCAUAACUGACGCUGAGGCACGAAAGCGUGGGUAGCAAACAGG
Molecule: ribosomal RNA, 252 nt
Filed under: uncultured bacterium
Lineage: Bacteria
Description: partial 16S ribosomal RNA
Rfam family: Bacterial small subunit ribosomal RNA
Source: RNAcentral